GACGAACGCUGGCGGCGUGCCUAAUACAUGCAAGUCGAGCGAACUUUUGGGAGCUUGCUCCCGAAAGUUAGCGGCGGACGGGUGAGUAACACGUGGGCAACCUGCCUAUAAGACUGGGAUAACUUCGGGAAACCGGAGCUAAUACCGGGAUAAUUCUUUCUACACAUGUAGAAAAGCUAAAAGACGGUUUACGCUGUCACUUAUAGAUGGGCCCGCGGCGCAUUUAGCUAGUUGGUGAGGUAACGGCUCACCAAGGCCACGAUGCGUAGCCGACCUGAGAGGGUGAUCGGCCACACUGGGACUGAGACACGGCCCAGACUCCUACGGGAGGCAG
This 334-nucleotide ribosomal RNA is filed under the name uncultured Bacillota bacterium. RNAcentral describes it as "bacterial SSU rRNA". It matches the Rfam family "Bacterial small subunit ribosomal RNA", at positions 28 to 351 of the family's 1533-position model. The record is from RNAcentral. Lineage: Bacteria; Bacillati; Bacillota.